UUCGGCUCCUAGCGGCAAACGGUCGAGUAACACGUAGAUAACCUGCCCGGAAGACGGGGAUAACAGCCCGAAAGGGCUGCUAAUACCGGAUGUGGAAGGAAGCGGCCUCGCUUCUUCUCUAAACGAGCAAUCGGCUUCCGGAUGGGUCUGCGGCCUAUCAGCUAGUUGGUGGGGUAACGGCCUACCAAGGCGACGACGGGUAGCUGGUCUGAGAGGAUGACCAGCCGGACGGGGACUGAGACACGGCCCCGACUCCUUCGGGAGGCAGCAAUGAGGAAUAUUGCGCAAUGGGGGAAACCCUGACGCAGCGACGCCGCGUGGGCGAGGAAGUCCUUCGGGAUGUAAAGCCCUUUUGUUGGGGACGAAAACAAUGACGGUACCCAACGAAUAAGCCCCGGCUAACUACGUGCCAGCAGCCGCGGUAAUACGUAGGGGGCAAGCGUUGUCCGGAUUUACUGGGCGUAAAGAGCGCGUAGGCGGGAGAGCAAGUCCGGUGUGAAAGCCCCCGGCUCAACCGGGGAAGGUCGUUGGAAACUGCUCUUCUUGAGGUGGACAGAGGGAAGUGGAAUUCCUGGUGUAGCGGUGAAAUGCGUAGAUAUCAGGAGGAACACCCAUGGCGAAGGCAGCUUCCUGGGUCCAGCCUGACGCUGAGGCGCGAAAGCGUGGGGAGCGAACGGGAUUAGAUACCCCGGUAGUCCACGCCGUAAACGAUGGUCACUAGGUGUAUGGGGUAUCGACCCCCCAUGUGCCGCAGCUAACGCAAUAAGUGACCCGCCUGGGGAGUACGGCCGCAA
RNAcentral lists this ribosomal RNA (794 nucleotides) under uncultured Bacillota bacterium. RNAcentral's name for it is "bacterial SSU rRNA". It matches the Rfam family "Bacterial small subunit ribosomal RNA", at positions 84 to 891 of the family's 1533-position model. The record is from RNAcentral. Lineage: Bacteria; Bacillati; Bacillota.